Molecule: ribosomal RNA, 371 nt
Filed under: Thraustochytriidae sp.
Lineage: Eukaryota; Bigyra; Thraustochytrida; Thraustochytriidae
Description: Thraustochytriaceae sp. partial small subunit ribosomal RNA
Rfam family: Eukaryotic small subunit ribosomal RNA
Source: RNAcentral
AUUCCAGCUCCAAUAGCGAAUACUAAUUCUGCUGCAGUUAAAAAGCUCGUAGUUGAACUUCUGGUAGGACAGAUCCGGCCUUUGGAUGAAUGUCCAUUGUAUGCUGUGUGUCUUGUCUGGCCAUCCUUUAUGUCUUUUAGGCGUAAUCUUUCACUGUAAAAAAAUUAGGGUGUUUCAAGCAAAAGUUAUUUGGAAUAUAUUAGUAUGGGAUGAUAAGAUAGGCUCUUGAGUGCUACUUUGUUGGUUUAUACACUUAGAGAAUGAUUAACAGGGACAGUCAGGGGCACUCGUAUUCCGCCGAGAGAGGUGAAAUUCUCAGACCAGCGGAAGACGGACCACUGCGAAAGCAUUUGCCAGGGAUGUUUUCAUCA